This 308-nucleotide long non-coding RNA is filed under the name Bos taurus (domestic cattle). RNAcentral describes it as "long non-coding RNA NONBTAT000764". The record is from RNAcentral. Lineage: Eukaryota; Metazoa; Chordata; Mammalia; Artiodactyla; Bovidae.
UCUGACUGGAAAAGAAGCAGCUGAGGCUGAACAGAGAUGGGGACGUGGGACUUUAAAGUUGAUGAGUGUGGGUUCUAUCCAGGAUCCCGUGGGAAGCCAUCUGAGUUGUGAUGCAGGAAACAGGCACUGAUGGAAGUUUCAGGAAGACUCAGGCUUUCUAGAGUCCAGCAAAUGGCUGAUAUGUAAAGCUCUAGCUUUAGGGCCUGUAGUGAGAGAACCACCAAAGUUCUCUAUAAGAUUAUCUCAAUUUUGAAGGGAUAGAUGCAUUUUAACAUUCUCCCUUCAUUUCCAUUCAUUCCCCCAAAGCU